RNAcentral lists this ribosomal RNA (465 nucleotides) under uncultured bacterium. RNAcentral describes it as "partial 16S ribosomal RNA". It matches the Rfam family "Bacterial small subunit ribosomal RNA", at positions 28 to 507 of the family's 1533-position model. The record is from RNAcentral.
GACGAACGCUGGCGGCGUGCUUAACACAUGCAAGUCGAACGGAAAGGCCCCUUUGGGGGUCCUCGAGUGGCGAACGGGUGAGUAACACGUGAGUAACCUUCCCUUGACUUCGGGAUAACUUCAGGAAACUGGGGCUAAUACCGGAUAGGAAUCCUUGCUGCAUGGUGGGGGUUGGAAAGCUUCGGCGGUUUUGGAUGGACUCGCGGCUUAUCAGCUUGUUGGUGGGGUAGUGGCUUACCAAGGCUUUGACGGGUAGCCGGCCUGAGAGGGCGACCGGCCACACUGGGUCUGAGAUACGGCCCAGACUCCUACGGGAGGCAGCAGUGGGGAAGAUUGCACAAGGGGCGGAAGCCUGAUGCAGCAACGCCGCGGGCGGGAUGACGGCCUUCGGGUUGUAAACCGCUUUCAGCAGGGGCGAAGCUUGUGGUGACGGUACCUGCAGAAGAAGCACCGGCUAACUACGUG